This 1375-nucleotide ribosomal RNA is filed under the name uncultured bacterium. RNAcentral describes it as "bacterial SSU rRNA". It matches the Rfam family "Bacterial small subunit ribosomal RNA". The record is from RNAcentral.
AGAGUUUGAUCCUGGCUCAGGACGAACGCUGGCGGCGCGCCUAACACAUGCAAGUCGAACGGAGUCAAGAGGAGCUUGCUUUUCUUGACUUAGUGGCGAACGGGUGAGUAACGCGUGAGUAACCUGCCCUGGAGUGGGGGACAACAGUUGGAAACGACUGCUAAUACCGCAUAAGCCCACGGAUCCGCAUGGAUCUGCGGGAAAAGGAUUUAUUCGCUUCAGGAUGGACUCGCGUCCAAUUAGCUAGUUGGUGAGGUAACGGCCCACCAAGGCGACGAUUGGUAGCCGGACUGAGAGGUUGAACGGCCACAUUGGGACUGAGACACGGCCCAGACUCCUACGGGAGGCAGCAGUGGGGGAUAUUGCACAAUGGGGGAAACCCUGAUGCAGCGACGCCGCGUGGAGGAAGAAGAUUUUCGGAUUGUAAACUCCUGUCGUUAGGGACGAUAGUGACGGUACCUAACAAGAAAGCACCGGCUAACUACGUGCCAGCAGCCGCGGUAAAACGUAGGGUGCAAGCGUUGUCCGGAAUUACUGGGUGUAAAGGGAGCGCAGGCGGACCGGCAAGUUGGAAGUGAAAACUAUGGGCUCAACCCAUAAAUUGCUUUCAAAACUGCUGGCCUUGAGUAGUGCAGAGGUAGGUGGAAUUCCCGGUGUAGCGGUGGAAUGCGUAGAUAUCGGGAGGAACACCAGUGGCGAAGGCGACCUACUGGGCACCAACUGACGCUGAGGCUCGAAAGCAUGGGUAGCAAACAGGAUUAGAUACCCUGGUAGUCCACGCCGUAAACGAUGAGCACUAGAUGUUGGUCCCGAAGGGAUCAGUGUCGCAGUUAACGCAAUAAGUGCUCCGCCUGGGGAGUACGCUCGCAAGAGUAAAACUCAAAGGAAUUGACGGGGACCCGCACAAGCAGCGGAGCAUGUGGUUUAAUUCGAAGCAACGCGAAGAACCUUACCAGGGCUUGACAUCCCGAUGACCGUUCCUUAACCGGAACUUCUCUACGGAGCAUCGGUGACAGGUGGUGCAUGGUUGUCGUCAGCUCGUGUCGUGAGAUGUUGGGUUAAGUCCCGCAACGAGCGCAACCCUUGUCGUCAGUUACUAACAUUCAGUUGAGGACUCUGGCGAGACUGCCGAGGUUAACUCGGAGGAAGGUGGGGAUGACGUCAAAUCAUCAUGCCCCUUAUGUUCUGGGCUACACACGUGCUACAAUGGUCGGUACAAUGAGAGGCAAACCUGUGAGGGGGAGCAAAUCACCAAAACCGAUCCCAGUUCGGAUUGUAGGCUGAAACUCGCCUACAUGAAGUUGGAGUUGCUAGUAAUCGCAGAUCAGAAUGCUGCGGUGAAUGCGUUCCCGGGUCUUGUACUCACCGCCCGUCA